ACGGAGGGUGCAAGCGUUAUUCGGAUUUAUUGGGCGUAAAGGGCGCGUAGGCGGCUUUUUAAGUCAGAUGUGAAAUCCCGUGGCUUAACUACGGAAGUGCAUUUGAAACUGGGAGGCUUGAGUAUGGGAGAGGGAAACGGAAUUCCUGGUGUAGCGGUGAAAUGCGUAGAUAUCAGGAGGAACACCUGUGGCGAAGGCGACUUGCUGGACUGCAACUGACGUUGAGAUGCGAAAGCUAGGGGAGCAAACGG
Molecule: ribosomal RNA, 251 nt
Filed under: uncultured prokaryote
Description: partial 16S rRNA
Rfam family: Bacterial small subunit ribosomal RNA
Source: RNAcentral